Molecule: ribosomal RNA, 253 nt
Filed under: uncultured bacterium
Lineage: Bacteria
Description: partial 16S ribosomal RNA
Rfam family: Bacterial small subunit ribosomal RNA
Source: RNAcentral
UACAGAGGUCUCAAGCGUUGUUCGGAUUCAUUGGGCGUAAAGGGUGCGUAGGUGGCGCGCUAAGUCAGAUGUGAAAUUUCGGGGCUCAACCCCGAAACUGCAUUUGAUACUGGCGUGCUCGAGGACUGGAGAGGAGACUGGAAUUCACGGUGUAGCAGUGAAAUGCGUAGAUAUCGUGAGGAAGACCAGUGGCGAAGGCGGGUCUCUGGACAGUUCCUGACACUGAGGCACGAAGGCCAGGGGAGCAAACGGG